UACAGAUGUGGAACAUAAUAUUUGUGUAUACGAGUUUCUGCUGUCCACCCUGAUGAGAGCUGGUUCGUGACAUGGUGAUAAUUUCAUGCUUGCUCUUCAUUUGAUUGGUGUGACAUCAUGAUAUAUUUUGCUCCAGUUAUUGUUUUUGUUGUGUUGCUGUACUGUGCGCAUAUACAGCAUUGCACUCCAUCUAGUUAUAUAGUCAUGAAAAUUGUUUGUAUUUCAGUACACUCCAAUGGUAAUGGUACAAGCUCACUUUUUACUAUGUAGGUUUGCUUUAUUUUGCUUUUACAUGCUGCCCAUUCUAAGUUUUAGGUCUUUAGAUAAAUGUAUGCAAGUUUUAAUCAGUGGAUUUGUUCUCAAGUGUAGAUUUUGAUAGCAAAAUUUGUCUGGGUGAUGAGAUGUGUUAAUUUGCGCAGUUUGUUGUUGAAAACAUGCCUGAAUGGAGAUCUUCAUCUGCAAAUAUUUGCUUCUAUGAUCACUGUGAUCCUACAAAUAGGCUAUGUGACCCCCUGACGGAGCUUCAUGUGAGCUGAGAACAUGCAAGUUUGCAUUAGUUUUCCGUGAUAACGAGGAGGAAGCUGAACACAGAGAAGGAGUCCGUCUAAUUUCUGUGCUGAGCUGCUGUAUUCGGAUUCUAAAGGGUGUAGCGGUUGGAGGCAUAUUCUUGAUGUUCUAGAGGCGUAUGCCAAUCGGGGGCUUCUGCGUUCAAAUAUAAUGUCGCUUCCACUCACUUCAGCUUAACGACGUAACACCUUGACACAGACGCCAGCAGUCCGCUGGAUACGUCGAACUAUUGCCCUGCCCUGUCGAGGCAUGUAAUGUUUCUCGGAUCAAACGGACGAACAGAAGAGAUGCUAGGAAGCGGACGUGUGUUUGUGUGAAAUGAACAAACGAAGAACAGAGCUGGAUGAUCACGUAUAGUACACUGCCAUUCCAUGGUUGUAGUCACGUACGUAUAGUUCUUUUCACGUAUAGUUGUAUUCCAAAUCUCACUGCCCUGAUGUGGAUAUAGAACCAAAUCUCAUGUUGGUCC
This is a long non-coding RNA of Hordeum vulgare subsp. vulgare (domesticated barley), 1036 nucleotides long. RefSeq lists it as uncharacterized. The record is from RefSeq and is a predicted model, not a curated record. The transcript has 2 exons. NCBI's taxonomy places the organism in Eukaryota, Viridiplantae, Streptophyta, Magnoliopsida, Poales, Poaceae.